RNAcentral lists this ribosomal RNA (253 nucleotides) under uncultured bacterium. RNAcentral describes it as "partial 16S ribosomal RNA". It matches the Rfam family "Bacterial small subunit ribosomal RNA", at positions 524 to 776 of the family's 1533-position model. The record is from RNAcentral.
UACAGAGGCCUCGAGCGUUAGGCGGAAUCACUGGGCUUAAAGCGUGUGUAGGCGGAUGCCUAAGUGCCUUGUGAAAUCCCACGGCUUAACCGUGGAACUGCUUGGCAUACUGGGUGUCUUGAGCAGCCUAGGGGCGAGCGGAACAGAUGGUGGAGCGGUGAAAUGCGUAGAGAUCAUCUGGAACGCCAAUGGUGAAGACAGCUCGCUGGGGGCUCGCUGACGAUGAGACACGAAAGACAGGGGAGCGAACGGG